GAUAGUUUGAUCAUGGCUCAGGACGAACGCUGGCGGCGUGCUUAACACAUGCAAGUCACGGGGGCCCGCAAGGGUAACCGGCGAACGAGUGCGUAACACGUGAGCAAUCUGCCGUGCACUGGGGGAUAGCCGGCCCAACGGCCGGGUAAUACCGCAUACGCUUGCCGGGUGGCAUCACUUGGCAAGGAAACCUCCGGGGGUGGACGAGGAGCUCGCGGCCUAUCAGCUAGUUGGUGGGGUCACGGCCCACCAAGGCGAUGACGGGUAGCUGGUCUGAGAGGAUGGCCAGCCACAUUGGGACUGAGAUACGGCCCAGACUCCUACGGGAGGCAGCAGUGGGGAAUAUUGCGCAAUGGCCGCAAGGCUGACGCAGCGACGCCGCGUGGGGGAUGAAGCAUUUCGGUGUGUAAACCCCUGUUGCCCGGGACGAACCUCCCCUUUCGAGGGGACUGACGGUACCGGGUGAGGAAGCACCGGUUAACUCCGUGCCAGCAGCCGCGGUAAUACGGAGGGUGCGAGCGUUGUCCGGAAUCACUGGGCGUAAAGGGCGCGUAGGCGGUGACUUAAGCGUGUGGUGAAAGCCCGGGGCUCAACCCCGGGUCGGCCGUGCGAACUGGGUCACUCGAGCACUGUAGAGGCAGGUGGAAUUCCGGGUGUAGCGGUGGAAUGCGUAGAGAUCCGGAAGAACACCAGUGGCGAAGGCGGCCUGCUGGGCAGUAGCUGACGCUGAGGCGCGACAGCGUGGGGAGCAAACAGGAUUAGAUACCCUGGUAGUCCACGCCGUAAACGCUGUUACUAGGUGCUUGGGGGAACGACCCCCCGAGUGCCGGCGCUAACGCAUUAAGUGCCCGC
This 852-nucleotide ribosomal RNA is filed under the name uncultured bacterium. Its description in RNAcentral is "bacterial SSU rRNA". It matches the Rfam family "Bacterial small subunit ribosomal RNA", at positions 8 to 872 of the family's 1533-position model. The record is from RNAcentral.